This 156-nucleotide non-coding RNA is filed under the name uncultured Lachnoclostridium sp. RNAcentral describes it as "Lysine riboswitch". It matches the Rfam family "Lysine riboswitch aptamer". From Rfam's summary of the family: Riboswitches are metabolite binding domains within certain messenger RNAs that serve as precision sensors for their corresponding targets. Allosteric rearrangement of mRNA structure is mediated by ligand binding, and this results in modulation of gene expression. The record is from RNAcentral. Lineage: Bacteria; Bacillati; Bacillota; Clostridia; Lachnospirales; Lachnospiraceae.
GGAUAGAGGCGCAGGUUUCAUGAGUAUCAUAUGACGAUAGUGUGGCAUACUGUUGUAUGAGAAAGGGGAGACUGCCGAAGAUGGAUUUAAGCCAAAGGAUUUGUCUGGGCUGCAGGAGAAUAUCUUGCGGACUGUCACGAAAGUGGAGCGCUAUCA